UAUGACCAUAUUAUGUUGAAACACUAGUUCUUGUCCAAUCCCCAAAGUUAAGCAAUGUUGGGCCUGGUCAGAGGUUGGGUGACCACUUGGGAGUACCAGGUGCUGUAAG
Molecule: non-coding RNA, 109 nt
Organism: Acanthosepion pharaonis
Lineage: Eukaryota; Metazoa; Mollusca; Cephalopoda; Sepiida; Sepiidae
Source: the annotation of a GenBank genome assembly